Molecule: ribosomal RNA, 862 nt
Filed under: Proteus mirabilis
Lineage: Bacteria; Pseudomonadati; Pseudomonadota; Gammaproteobacteria; Enterobacterales; Morganellaceae
Description: partial 23S ribosomal RNA
Rfam family: Bacterial large subunit ribosomal RNA
Source: RNAcentral
UAACUAUAACGGUCCUAAGGUAGCGAAAUUCCUUGUCGGGUAAGUUCCGACCUGCACGAAUGGCGUAAUGAUGGCCAGGCUGUCUCCACCCGAGACUCAGUGAAAUUGAACUCGCUGUGAAGAUGCAGUGUACCCGCGGCAAGACGGAAAGACCCCGUGAACCUUUACUAUAGCUUGACACUGAACAUUGAGCCUUGAUGUGUAGGAUAGGUGGGAGGCUUUGAAGUGUGGACGCCAGUCUGCAUGGAGCCAACCUUGAAAUACCACCCUUUAACGUUUGAUGUUCUAACCUAGGCCCAUAAACUGGGUCGGGGACCGUGUCUGGUGGGUAGUUUGACUGGGGCGGUCUCCUCCUAAAGAGUAACGGAGGAGCACGAAGGUUGGCUAAGCAUGGUCGGACAUCAUGCGGUUAGUGCAAAGGCAUAAGCCAGCUUGACUGCGAGAGUGACGGCUCGAGCAGGUACGAAAGUAGGUCUUAGUGAUCCGGUGGUUCUGAAUGGAAGGGCCAUCGCUCAACGGAUAAAAGGUACUCCGGGGAUAACAGGCUGAUACCGCCCAAGAGUUCAUAUCGACGGCGGUGUUUGGCACCUCGAUGUCGGCUCAUCACAUCCUGGGGCUGAAGUAGGUCCCAAGGGUAUGGCUGUUCGCCAUUUAAAGUGGUACGCGAGCUGGGUUUAGAACGUCGUGAGACAGUUCGGUCCCUAUCUGCCGUGGGCGUUGGAAGAUUGAGAGGGGUUGCUCCUAGUACGAGAGGACCGGAGUGAACGCACCACUGGUGUUCGGGUUGUCAUGCCAAUGGCAUUGCCCGGUAGCUAAGUGCGGAAGAGAUAACCGCUGAAAGCAUCUAAGCGGGAAACUUGCC